GGGGAAUCUAAAAUUUUGAUUUUCGUCUCUUGACAGGAGGGGACUGGGCCUGAGAACUCUGGAGGUCUUUGGUAAGUAAUCACAAGGGGAGGGGGGCAAGGGCUCUUCCAACUCUGGAGGUCUUUGGUAAGUAAUCACAAGGGGAGGGGGGCAAGGGCUCUUCCGUCCUUUCCCAGAACUUCCACCAGUCUCCUGACUAAUCCUAAGUCCUUCCUUAACGGCUUGAUUUCCCGUGGCGCCCUUCUCUUCUCCUGAAGGCAACAAGAACACACAAUGAGUAAUGGGUAAAACGGAGAAUGCCUUGCUCCUAGCUUCUUUGCUCUUUGGGUUGUACUUCACCAGCGUCUGGACAGCUCCUCCACUCCCAUAGACCUCCUAGGUAGAUAUAAGGUAACACACAAAUCCCUGAGGGCACAGGUAAGUAACAAAGGUAAGGAUGUAGCAAGGUAACUAGGCCAUGCCCCUGGAUGUCCACCGGUAUAUCAGAAGCGAGUAACUUUUUACUCGUAACACAGAUAGGUAUUGAGCAAGGUGACUGACUCUUCACACUAGGCUUACUGAGCGGGUUCCAGAGCAAUGGCUUUUAACUCGUGCAGGCGGAUAAGUAUUCAACAAGUAGCUGUAUCUUCACACUGGGCUUUACAGGGCGUAUUCAAGGGCAAUAGCUUUUAGCUCGUACAGACAGGUAAGUAUUCAACAAGUGACUGUAUCUUCACGCUGGGCUUUACAGGGCGUAUUCAAGGGCAAUAGCUUUCCCCACAAUAUCCGCACAAUACCUUGUUUUGCUUUCGCGCUUCACCUUCAAGCUGGGUCCGGAGAACGGAGUUAUAGGCGGGCAUAGGUGGGAUAGGUGGGCACCGCCACGGCAGCCUACGUUCUCUCCAACAGGAACUUUUCUCGGCCUGGAGGGCGAGUACAGACAACAGGGACACGGCACAGCACUGCAAAGCUUUGGUGUACACACGUCAAAGACAGACUCACCCACUGCACUACACACACUUCAGUGAUUUUUAAGGUCGGUACUCCACGCCCGGUCGGAUUUCGUCCUGGAGGAGUUUGCAGUCGCUGUCACGGUAAGUGCUCCAAACUUUACGGUGUGGCCACAGCCAAAUAACAUCCAUUCACCCACGCUCUACUUCGGCUCACCCACUCGUCUCGUCCUCCAACGAUGGGGCCGCUCAACAAGCUGUUAAUCACUCCAACAGGUAUUAGUUAUCCAUAUCCAAGUAUGAGCAAUGAUAUGUAAGCAAUCCAAUGUACUCACAGUCUUCGCGAUACUGAUCCUCU
Long non-coding RNA from Cyprinus carpio carpio, 1287 nucleotides. The record is from Ensembl. Lineage: Eukaryota; Metazoa; Chordata; Actinopteri; Cypriniformes; Cyprinidae.